RNAcentral lists this ribosomal RNA (253 nucleotides) under uncultured bacterium. RNAcentral's name for it is "partial 16S ribosomal RNA". It matches the Rfam family "Bacterial small subunit ribosomal RNA", at positions 524 to 776 of the family's 1533-position model. The record is from RNAcentral.
UACAGAGGUCUCAAGCGUUGUUCGGAUUCAUUGGGCGUAAAGGGUGCGUAGGCGGCGCGGUAAGUCGGGUGUGAAAUCUCGGAGCUUAACUCCGAAACUGCAUUCGAUACUGCCGUGCUCGAGGACUGGAGAGGAGACUGGAAUUUACGGUGUAGCGGUGAAAUGCGUAGAUAUCGUAAGGAAGACCAGUGGCGAAGGCGGGUCUCUGGACAGUUCCUGACGCUGAGGCACGAAGGUCAGGGGAGCAAACGGG